CUCUUGUGUUCUGGGGGCCUCUGGAUGUCUGGAGUUUUGAUCUCCUCCAUACCUGCUUCAUGCCCUGGAGGACGGGGCUGUGGCCCCCCCCCCCACCCUCUAACAGAUCAUUACAUGAAGGAACCUUUUAAAAACAAGCGUGUUCAUGCUCACAGGUGUACACACGGGUGAUCACACACACAAACUACACCCUUUUUGGCUCCUACCUCAAAGCACACUGUGUGCUGUCGAUCUUAUGUGCUGCACAAUAAUGUUUAAUAUUUAGUAUUUACUGUCAUAUUCCCAUAUAUCAUUGUGAUGUUGUUUAUUAUGUUGCUCUCGUUUUCUUCUGCUUGUUUUCUUUUUUCAUUCUCAACAGGUGAAAUUAAAAAAGUAUCUACUGUUAUCUACUGUUAGCUAGUUUAUUGUGAUGGUGUUGUUUUUAUUAUGUUGCUCUUUGUUGUUUGUUUUCUCUUCUGUUUUUUUUUUUAUCAUCCAGGUGUUUUUUUGUUUUUCUUCUUCCCCCCUUUCUCACCGUCACUUCUCCCCUCUAGUUUUCUUUCUCUCCCUCUCUUUCUUUCAUUCUUUCUCCCUGUCCUAUCCCCAGUCAUGUCUGUCCCGUCUUUAAAAAAAUGAAAAUAAAAUACAUACAUAAUUAUAAUAAAAGGUCAAUCAAAUGGACCAAUAUGGCAAGGCCAUGAUGAUCCACUUGGUAAAGUAAAUCCACUUGGCAUCUUUCUUGGCCUUAAGACAACAAUUCUGAUGGCUAAAGAUCCAAACGGGACAGGCAAAAAAAAGAAAAAGGAGGAAGAGGAGGCUUUUUGGGUAGUUGUAAAUCAUGACAAAAAUAAAAUGCUGCGCAAAUAUUUGACUCUGCUUUAAGGGGAGCUCUCACUUCUACUUGUACCACAGUGUUGUGCAGAAGAGCCAAAAUCCUUUAAAGACUGCUUUGCUUAAGAGGCAGACCCGAUGCAGUGAUAUUACAGCUAAUUGGACUCAUUUGCAUGGCGCUGGGUUUCAGUGUCUGUUUGUCUUCAGUCAAGUGGAACAUUGAGUUCUUG
Astatotilapia calliptera (eastern happy) is the source of this 1040-nucleotide long non-coding RNA. The record is from Ensembl. NCBI's taxonomy places the organism in Eukaryota, Metazoa, Chordata, Actinopteri, Cichliformes, Cichlidae.